UACAGAGGUCUCAAGCGUUGUUCGGAUUCAUUGGGCGUAAAGGGUGCGUAGGUGGCGCGCUAAGUCAGGUGUGAAAUCUCGGGGCUUAACUCCGAAACUGCAUUUGAUACUGGCGUGCUUGAGGACUGGAGAGGAGACUGGAAUUCAUGGUGUAGCAGUGAAAUGCGUAGAGAUCAUGAGGAAGACCAGUGGCGAGGGCGGGUCUCUGGACAGUUCCUGACGCUGAGGCACGAAGGCCAGGGGAGCAAACGGG
RNAcentral lists this ribosomal RNA (253 nucleotides) under uncultured bacterium. RNAcentral's name for it is "partial 16S ribosomal RNA". It matches the Rfam family "Bacterial small subunit ribosomal RNA", at positions 524 to 776 of the family's 1533-position model. The record is from RNAcentral.